UUAUUCACCAGCACGAUAUUCUAAAAUAAUAUAUAUAAAUAUAAAUAAUAACGGAUGGAAAUGAUCAAUAGGGUGGAUCUAACGACCGAAAACUUAUAAAUAUAAAGAGACUUAUACUCGUAAGAGUAUAGUAGCCGAACUCAUAUAUAAGAUAGGGCUAUUAAUGAGUAUAGAUCAUUUUAUAUUUAUAAAUUUUUAGUUGUUGGAUGAAAGGACGUGCAGUUAAAAUGAUAGUUGUCCUCUAAAGUUGAGUAGGUGGUUGGUUAAAUAAUAUAAUCUAACGGAUGAAAAUGAUCACUGGGUUGAAUCUAACGGUCGAAAAUUUAUAAAUACAGAAGAACUUAUACUCAUAACAGUAUAGUAACCUGCAAGAUAUUGGCAUAUUUGUUCAUUCAAUUCGAUCCUCC
Molecule: long non-coding RNA, 407 nt
Filed under: Ananas comosus (pineapple)
Lineage: Eukaryota; Viridiplantae; Streptophyta; Magnoliopsida; Poales; Bromeliaceae
Description: long non-coding RNA (ACOM_LNC002512)
Source: RNAcentral